Molecule: ribosomal RNA, 1478 nt
Filed under: metagenome
Description: bacterial LSU rRNA
Rfam family: Bacterial large subunit ribosomal RNA
Source: RNAcentral
UUUGUGACGGAGAAGGUUAGGUCUACCAGGCGUUGGUUGUCCUGGGGAAAGGAGGUAGGCAUGAUUCUUAGGCAAAUCCGGGAAUCUCUAUGCCGAGCACCGAGACGAGUCCUAUGAGGACGAAGUGACUGAGACCACGCUUCCAGGAAAAGCCACUAAGCUUCAGCUGUAGAAAAACCGUACCGCAAACCGACACUGGUAGGCAGGGUGAGAAUCCCAAGACGCUUGAGAGAACUCGGGUGAAGGAACUAGGCAAAAUGGCACCGUAACUUCGGGAGAAGGUGCGCCCUUUGGUGUGGUCACUGCGUGACUGAGCAUCGAAGGGUCGCAGUAACCUGGCCGCUGCGACUGUUUAUCAAAAACACAGCACUCUGCAAACACGAAAGUGGACGUAUAGGGUGUGACGCCUGCCCGGUGCUGGAAGGUUAAUUGAUGGGGUCAGCCGCAAGGCGAAGCUCUUGAUCGAAGCCCCAGUAAACGGCGGCCGUAACAAUAACGGUCCUAAGGUAGCGAAAUUCCUUGUCGGGUAAGUUCCGACCUGCACGAAUGGCGUAACGACAGCGGCGCUGUCUCCACCCGAGACUCAGUGAAAUUGAAAUCGCUGUGAAGAUGCAGCGUUCCCGCGGCAAGACGGAAAGACCCCGUGAACCUUUACUAUAGCUUUACAUUGAACGUUGAGUUCUUCUGUGUAGGAUAGGUGGGAGGCUAUGAAACCGAGACGCUAGUUUCGGUGGAGCCAUCCUUGAAAUACCACCCUGAAGUGCUUGACGUUCUAACCUAGGUCCGUAAUCCGGAUCGGGGACCAUGUAUGGUGGGUAGUUUGACUGGGGCGGUCUCCUCCCAAAGAGUAACGGAGGAGCACGAAGGUACGCUCAGCGCGGUCGGACAUCGCGCACUGUGUGCAAAGGCAUAAGCGUGCUUGACUGCGAGAUCGACGGAUCAAGCAGGUACGAAAGUAGGUCUUAGUGAUCCGGUGGUUCUGUAUGGAAGGGCCAUCGCUCAACGGAUAAAAGGUACUCCGGGGAUAACAGGCUGAUACCGCCCAAGAGUUCAUAUCGACGGCGGUGUUUGGCACCUCGAUGUCGGCUCAUCACAUCCUGGGGCUGUAGCCGGUCCCAAGGGUAUGGCUGUUCGCCAUUUAAAGUGGUACGUGAGCUGGGUUCAGAACGUCGUGAGACAGUUCGGUCCCUAUCUGUCGUGGGCGUUGGAGAUUUGAGGGGGGCUGCUCCUAGUACGAGAGGACCGGAGUGGACGUUCCGCUGGUGUUCGGGUUGUCAUGCCCAUGGCAUUGCCCGGUAGCUACGAACGGAAGUGAUAACCGCUGAAAGCAUCUAAGCGGGAAGCACGCCCCAAGAUGAGAUCUCCCGAGAGCUAGACUCUCCUUAAGGCACCAUCAAGACUAGGUGGUUGAUAGGCGCGGUGUGGAAGUGCAGCAAUGCAUUGAGCUUACGCGUACUAAUGAGCCGUGAGGCUUGAUC